AUGAGACGCGGUCACACCCCCUUCUAAACUUCCGGUCGCCUCCCACCAGGAGAAGCCAUGCCUUCUCGCCCAGACCACGCCCCACUGCCCUCUGGUUAGCCUGAGUAUGUGGGCUCUCAUAGGGCCUCCCUUCCUGAGGCACCGCCCCUUGGUGAGGCCACACCCCUGUCCCAGCCUUUCUCCUAGUCCUGCUGCUGUGGUAGGUCGGGGUCACUUCUUAGUGGACCCCAUUUCUUUCUGAUCUCUGCCCUGGGUUCUCGUGUCGCCGCAUCAUUUCUUUCCAGAUUUCUCCUCUUUCUCUACCUCUGAGUCUCCCUCCGCAUCCCCAUGUUUCUCUGUGGCUCUGCUCUGGUGUUUCUUUGUCUGUCCAUGUGCCUAUGUCACUUAGUCCCCGUGUCUCGUUGCAUUCCUUUGACUGUGUGCGUCUCUCUUUGCGUCCCUGUCACUUUCUGUUUCUUGUCUCAUAGUUUUUUUCUGUGUCACUCUUAAUAUUCCUGUCCCUGCAUCUGGCCUCUGCGUCCCUCCCACCCAGUAUCCUUUUUUUAUAUCGCAGCCUUCCGCGAGGGGGCAGCAUAAACCAACCCAGCAGGCCGAACCCCGCUGGGUGGGGCUGGACCAGUCAGUCUGUCCUCUGGCCCUACCAGUCCCUUCCGGUUGUCCUUGUCCCACUUUCUCUAUCUCACCAGAAUCCUGUGGUCUUUGUGGCUGGUUUUGAGGCGGCCCUUUUGUCUCUUCGUAGACGCUCCACCCUCCCCACCCCCACCCGCCUUUUCACAUUCCCAGGGCCGCCGAGUGGAGCUAAUGAGAAGGUCCACUUGUUGGGGAUGGGGGAGGGGAACAGGUACUCCGCUGCUGAAGUACCUGACAGCCAAAUCCUCCCCAAGGGCCAGGCAUUUGGGGGUUUCUUGUGAGAGAGCCACCUGGGCUGGGGUAGGGCCCCUUCUCCACCGGCCACAUACAUGAAGCCCCUCUCCCAUGUGGCAAGGCCCAAGGAGUGGACCCUGGCUCUGACCAACUUGCUUUCCACUCUUGUUAAUGCUCCUAUUUGUUUGCUUGCUGAUUAUUUUGUGUGUGUGCAGGCCGUGCUGACUUCUGAAGGGCAAAUAACAACUUGCUUUGAGUUGGAAGCAGCAAGUGGGUGCCGGGGCCCCAACUCACGUAGCCAAGUUUGGUGGCACAACCUUUGAAGCCAUUCCACCCACCUUGGUUUUGUUUUAUGAGAUGGCAUCUCCUGUCGUCCUGGCUAACCAGCCAGGGAUUGUAGGCAUGCACUGACUCCAAGUUGAGCUAGCUCUCUCCUUUCUGAGCUGUUGCCACACCCCUUUAACAACAUUGUUGAUAAAGGGUUUUAGCUUUGUCUGCCCACCAGGCCCUCGUGUAAGUCUUCUCCCAAGCAGUCCCCGAUCAAGCCGUGGAGAAGGAAGGGGAACUGAGUCAUGGGAAGGGAAAGUGGCUUGGUGCCAAAGGUCAGGGUUAUGAAAAGAGGCAGGUCCACAAUGGACACUAUUCAAAAUUCUUUUGUUGCUCACAAGAAUCUUAGGAAGGGGGUCGGGUUGGUGCUGCACAACUGUAAUCCCAGUACUUAGGUGGCAGAAACAGAAAGAUCUCACAGAAUUCCAAGCCACUGUGGUCUACAGACCCAGUUCUAAUCAGCGACGAUCACCACGUGAGGGUCACCGUGUGUGAAAAGUAAACUAAGGCACAGGUUCUUUCCAAACCACCGCCAGAGAAGGAGCAGUGUGAGGUUUGUUGGUGUUUAUAGUAGCUAUGCAACAUGACAUCCAGAUAAUAUCUCAGGUUUGCAAGGAACGUGGCAUGAGGCUAGUGGUAUAAAUGACAGACACUGAGUAAAUGCUCUGUAGCUUCCAACUUUUUUUUUUUUUUUCCCAAGACAGAGUGUCUUACUCAGGCUUUCCAUAACUGCAAUGAAACACUGUGACAAGAAAAGCAACUUGGGGAGGAAAGGAUUAUUGUAGCGACAAGUUUGAGAUUUUGGUUCCUUUAAAAAGCACAGAAGUAUUAUGACAAUGUUUCAUUUUAAUCCUUCAGAUUGUCUGCAGCAGCUGGUUAUGAUUUGCCUCGUGCUCCAGCAGAGGUGUGAUUUUUGUCAGCCACGUAUAGUUUCUGCGACUGUGUGGCGUUUGGAAUUCUGGAAACUGUACAGAGGGUAAAUAAGUGCUAGAGGACCAAUAGCAUUCUAGGGUAUGGGGCAGGAGGAUGGAGACUUUGAGGCCAGCUUGGGCUCCAUGAAACCCUGUCACAAACAAGCGAGCUAAUUCACAAGCCCACCAUCUUCAACUCUGCCACGAGUACAAGGACAAGAGAGCUCUGCUGACAGGGACAGAGAGGAUCUUACUAUGCAUCCCAGAGGCGGGACUUAGCCCAAGCAGCAGUGGAAUUACAGACAAGUGUCACAUCAGACCAAGCAUGUCUUCAACCCUCGACAAGAGACGUGCUUUCUGGAUUCCUCGUGAUUUGGGAAUGCUGCUCACACCAGCCCUGCAGCUCAUUGGUAGCAUCUGGCCUAGCUAGGAAGCAUCCCCAGCGGGGCAAACCACGAAAGAUCUGGGUGAGAGAGAACCCUGGAGAGCCGCCGGCCCCUCCCCUCACCACCGCGGGCAACUUCCCUCAGGAAACCGCCGGAGGCAGCUGAGGUUACAGGUGGAAAACCACUAGUUUGGCUGUUUCCCCGCCCCUGACCUGACAAUC
Mus musculus (house mouse) is the source of this 2709-nucleotide long non-coding RNA. RefSeq annotates it as predicted gene, 34744. The transcript is spliced from 4 exons. NCBI's taxonomy places the organism in Eukaryota, Metazoa, Chordata, Mammalia, Rodentia, Muridae. The record is from RefSeq and is a predicted model, not a curated record.